GCUACAAUUACUGUUGAUGGAUGCCAGCUAGAUUUAUUGACUGAUUCUUUUUAUCUUUUAGAUCACAUCACAGCCUUAAUGAUGUCUGCCACGUUCAGAAAGGCUUGUGACAUUGAUGGUAGAGGAACUGGUCAGCUGGGAUAUUUUAUUUUGCAAAGAUAAUGCACAUCAGGCACUUGGGAGGAUGAGCUUGCUGCAGAUGAGACACUUUCCGCCUAAGCCAGGCAGGGGGAGCACCAAGUCUGGAUAUCCUCCUGCAGUGGAGCCACUUCUGCUUUACAAGUGCCUUCAGAAUACCCUGACUUCAGUGAAUAUUUUGUCCUAAACUCUGGAAAAAACACAGCUGAUAGCAUGGGAUCAGCUGUUUGCUGUUUAUGUUUCCAGGCUGUAUCUGCAUAGUCUAAGUUGACUGCAGUAUAACUGUAAUUUAUUAUGGUUAAUUGGAGUGAAAAUGCAGAAACUGGAGCCAGCAGAAACUGAUGUAGAAAGCCCUUUGCUACUCAGAGAGGGAACAGUGUUUCUGCAUUUUUUAUUGUGUUCUUAUUUUCUGCCUUUAUCCAGAUUAAGGUACAUCUGCCCCUACUGUUAUGUUGCACCCAGUGGUCUUGCUGUGGAAAGAGGAGAGGAUUUUUGCUUUCCUCCUUGGGGAAUGCCUUAACCAUGAGAAGGUUAUGGAGCAGCAGGGCUACUGUUGAAGACUCUUUUCUUAUACUGACUACAAGAGGCUGGGAGAUGAAGAAAGUCCUGAAGAGAGGGCAUCUGUCAUCCAUUUUCUGGUGUUUGCUCCUGAAUAGACCUUUACCAUGUUCCAUUUCACACAGCACUGCAAACAAGAUAAUGAGUGAUUAAUGUACUCUGGUAACUCCAUGGGCACGCUGAGCGACACGCCAGCUGCUCCCGCUGAAGCCCAGGGAACGGUGUGUGAGCAGUGAAAGAUGCACCUUUCUGUAAUGUGUGUGAUGAUGGGGAGUCAAUAUGAGUCUGCUUCUGUUGGCUGGAAUUGUGGGAAUGUGCACCACCGUGGGACCAGGUACCAGGGAAGCGGGAAGACCUUCUUGUCAAUCUUCUUGUCACUCGCCUAUUCCCACGACUGUAAUUGUUGAAGAUAUUAACCAUUUUUCAGACGUGGCUACUCGACACAAAGCUUUCAGGAAACCAAACCAGAAAUCUGCAGAGCUGGAAAGUUGAUAUUGGCUGAGAACAGCAGGUACAGCAGUGAGAAAAGCUUCUUGAUAACCUGGGGCUGCUCCAGGACAGAAGGAAAGGUGCCUCCACUGCCAGGACUGCCCCAUCAGCCACACCACACCGGCCGUGAAAACAUGGCAGGCUCUUCUCCAAGGGUUAAAGUUUUAAGUCACAACUUUCACUGCAGUUUGCACUUAUGCCUAAUUAACUCAAAAUUAAUGGUCCAGAACCUAGUCCAACAGUUAUCCUCAAUGGUGCAGAAAAAAAAUCUCCCUUUUAUGUUUGGGAUAAUACUUUUUUCCUAGAACAGUGUUGGUUAAUCUUGAAGACCAAAGAAUUGUAAGCAUAACUUCAAUGUAUACAUUUAUUUUGCUUUUGUUUCUUCUGCAAUUGUUGAGCCUUUCCUAAGUAUUGCUUUUCUUCA
Molecule: long non-coding RNA, 1609 nt
Organism: Lepidothrix coronata (blue-crowned manakin)
Lineage: Eukaryota; Metazoa; Chordata; Aves; Passeriformes; Pipridae
Exons: 5
Source: RefSeq, a predicted model, not a curated record